This is an RNA transcript of Pogoniulus pusillus (Red-fronted tinkerbird), 1886 nucleotides long. It is a transcript of the gene named putative exonuclease GOR, with no coding region annotated. The transcript is spliced from 5 exons. NCBI's taxonomy places the organism in Eukaryota, Metazoa, Chordata, Aves, Piciformes, Lybiidae. The record is from RefSeq and is a predicted model, not a curated record.
GAGCGGGCCGCGCGUUCGAGGCGCUCCUGGGCGUCCUCCUGAGCUCUGCCCUCAGGUGCCCCUCUCGGUCCGUCCCGUGCCGGCCUGCGACCUGUUUGAGGACCGUAAGCCCCAUCAGCAGCUUCCAGCUUGCUUUCCGCUCCUUCAACGACGCCUAGCACUACUGCAAACAGCGGCAUCGCUGCCGGCACCAGAGCGAGGCUUCGCGCCGAGGCAGAGAGCCCGCAGCCCUCCCCACUUCCCACCGGCACCGCCAUGUAUUCACAGGGUGUCUCUCAUUCUCCUGUGGAUACUAAGUCAAAAAAUUCUGAGACGCAGUGUAAGCUAACAGAAGCACUUCCAUGUGAAAAACGGGGUAGGGAUUCAAUUGGAUGUGUACCCACAAAGAGCUCAAGAGACCCUUCCCCAGUGAAAAUUCAAAUAAAACUGGGAGACUCUGAUGAGGAAUGUGAUCUUGUCAUUGAUACACCAUCAGAACCUGCCUCUAAAAAGAGAAGAAGUAAAAGCCAUAUGGGCAGGAACAGGGGUGAAGAACUGGCUGCUGUAGACUGUGCAGAAGAAUUAGGUGAUGGUGCUCUACCAGACGUUCCCAAGCAUAUAGAAGAAAUGCCAGAGGAAAUUGUCAUUUUGAGGAAGAACAGCAGAAGUUUAAGUACUGUCAAAACACUAGACAGCGGUUCUAAAAGAGGAGAUAAGAUUUAUUUGCCUGAUGUAAACACUGAUAAAUUGGAGGCUUUGAAGGAAGUAGAUACCCUGAAUCAUGGUGAGAAGAAACGUGUAUCUUCGUCUGCUUCUGUCAUGGGAACCAUGAAAAAGGGCUUUUGGAAACGAGAGAAUGUGGUAACCAAGACCAUGGUCAAAGCAAUUGUUCCCAAGAGUGCUAAUGAAGACAGUGAGAGCAGCAGAAGAGUAACACAGUCUGUCUUGUGUACUGGUGACUCGUCAAAAGAUGAGGCUACAACUGAAAGACCUUAUAUAAAAAUUAAGACAGAGGAAGGCCAGAGAAUAGAAGAAAACAGGGGUGGCGAUAGCCUAGGAGAUACACACGUGAAUCCAAUUCACAGCUCAUGCAAGAAAGAAAGCAAAAUAACUCUGAGUUUACCCACUAAAGAAUUGCAAUCCAGUGGGGACAGCACAGAGGCCUCUGAAUCAGAUGACCUGCUAGAGGAGUGUCUGAGGAUUUUUGAAGAGUUUGGAAAGGAAAAACAAAUGGAGGCCUGUGAUCAGCAGGUACGUAACAAAAAUGCAGUAGCGUCUUUCAAAGCAUCUCCUGAGCAGAAGAGUGAUACAGAAAUUCAACAGGAACACCAGGAAUUUGUAGAUGCAACUAAAGAGAGACAAGCUUUUAUUGACAGAACUUCUGAAGAGAAGCAAAUUACACCUGGAUUGUCAGCUACUCAGUAUGAAAGCACUGAAACGAAAGUGUCUUCAAACUGAAGUGUGACCUAAAAUGCUCUAAAACACUUUGUAUGGAAUCUUUUGGCAGAAAUUUAUGUCUUCUAUCUUGAUGUGUUUCCUGACAUUCCAGGUUUGCUUCUGUGCAUGAGUUUACUCUUACUCUGUUUUAACAAAGGAGCUGUGAAAUAUCUGUGAUCCAGAUUAAUGCAAUUUAAAUAGUAAAGCUUACAUCAGUGGGUGCUAUCUUCUGCAUGUUUCAACCUGUUUUAAUUUUCUUUAAGUUCAGCCUAUUAAAAUGAGAAGUGGUCAGCUGUAUGCUCUACUGACAGGAAAUGCUUCAACGUCAAUGCCCUGUGGAUACUCCAUUAGACCACUCAAAAGGCCUACUGGUGUGCCAGGCAAGGCCAUGAUAGAAGAACAAUCUGUUUUUGACAGCUGUAGCAGUAGAAUGCUGUACCUCAGUCAUGCUAUGAGGUCUCACAUACAGU